Oncorhynchus keta (chum salmon) is the source of this 350-nucleotide long non-coding RNA. RefSeq lists it as uncharacterized. Lineage: Eukaryota; Metazoa; Chordata; Actinopteri; Salmoniformes; Salmonidae. The transcript has 3 exons. The record is from RefSeq and is a predicted model, not a curated record.
GGUAUGGUUACUUUAGGGUAGGUUACUUUAGGGUAGGUGAGGGUAGGGGUACAUACCCUGAUCGGAGGGCGGUGAUGAUGGGUAGGUAUGGUUACUUUAGGGUAGGUUACUUUAGGGUAGGUAUGGUUACUUUAGGGUAGGUGUGGUUACUUUAGGGUAGGUAUGAUUACUUUAGGGUAGGUAUGGUUACUUUAGGGUAGGUAUGGUUACUUUAGGGUAGGUUACUUUAGGGUAGGUAUGGUUACUUUAGGGUAGGUAUGGUUACUUUAGGGUAGGUGUGGUUACUUUAGGGUAGGUAUGGUUACUUUAGGGUAGGUGUGGUUACUUUAGGGUAGGUUACUUUAGGGUAG